CCAAUAGCGUAUAUUAAAGUUGUUGCAGUUAAAAAGCUCGUAGUUGAAUUUCGGGAUCAAUUUAUUGGUCGUGCCAACGGUACGCACUGGUACAAUUGGUUUCUCCUUUCUGACGAAGCAUGAUGUCAUUAAUUUGAUGUCGUGGGGAAUCAGGACUGUUACUUUGAAAAAAUUAGAGUGUUUAAAGCAGGCUCGCGCUUGAAUACAUUAGCAUGGAAUAAUGAAAUAGGACGUUUGAUUCUAUUUUGUUGGUUUCUAGGAUCGACGUAAUGAUUAAUAGGGAUAGUUGGGGGCAUUAGUAUUCAAUUGUCAGAGGUGAAAUUCUUGGAUUUAUUGAAGACUAACUACUGCGAAAGCAUUUGCCAAGGAUGUUUUCAUUAAUCAAGAACGAAAGUUAGGGGAUCGAAGACGAUCAGAUACCGUCGUAGUCUUAACCAUAAACUAUGCCGACUAGGGAUCGGAUGAUGUUAAUUUUUUAAUGACUCAUUCGGCGCCUUACG
This 500-nucleotide ribosomal RNA is filed under the name uncultured Glomeromycotina. RNAcentral describes it as "partial small subunit ribosomal RNA". It matches the Rfam family "Eukaryotic small subunit ribosomal RNA", at positions 591 to 1092 of the family's 1831-position model. The record is from RNAcentral. Lineage: Eukaryota; Fungi; Glomeromycota.